Jatropha curcas is the source of this 2019-nucleotide RNA transcript. It is a transcript of the gene named beta glucosidase 41, with no coding region annotated. Lineage: Eukaryota; Viridiplantae; Streptophyta; Magnoliopsida; Malpighiales; Euphorbiaceae. The record is from RefSeq and is a predicted model, not a curated record.
ACGUGUCUUGACCCCAUUUUCUUCAAUUACAUAUUCUUCAUCUUUACAACUAAGUAACUAACAUACGCAUUCUCUUUCUCUUCUUUCUCUAUCUCUCUCUCUCUCUCCAUAGAUAUAUAAAUCGCACCUUACUUAUCUAACAACAGUCCUCUUCACCUAAUCAUUUUUUUUUUUCAAUAAAGCAGUCACCUAUUAAUUUUAAUCAAUCACCAUUAUGACAAUUAUCAUUAGCUUAAUCCUCUUCUUGUUAACCUCUCUUUUGGUGAACUCAGAAUCCUCCAUUAGCAGAGCUGAUUUCCCCAUUGGCUUCACCUUUGGAACUGCCUCUUCAGCUUAUCAGUUUGAAGGUGCUGCAAAUGAAGGAAACAAAGGAGCUAGCAUAUGGGAUACCUUUACAAGGCAACCAGGAAGAAUAUUGGACUUUAGCAAUGCAGAUACAGCUGUUGAUCAAUAUCACCGGUUUAAGGGUGACAUAGAUUUGAUGAAGGAUUUAGGAAUGGAUGCCUAUAGAUUCUCAAUAUCUUGGCCAAGGAUUUUUCCAAAUGGAACAGGGGAACCUAAUCAAGAAGGAAUAGAUUACUACAACAGUCUUAUAGAUGCCUUAAUAGAAAAAGGAAUCCAACCUUAUGUGACUCUGUAUCAUUGGGACCUUCCACAAACUCUUGAAGAUAAAUAUGAAGGAUGGUUGAACAAACAAAUAGUAAAGGACUUCGAAUAUUAUACCUUCACUUGCUUCCAAGCUUUUGGAGAUAGAGUAAAAAAUUGGAUAACCUUCAAUGAACCUCAUGGUUUCGCCAUUCAAGGUUAUGAUACCGGUAUUCAAGCUCCCGGAAGGUGCUCGAUUCUCGGUCAUUUGCUUUGUAAGACCGGAAAUUCAUCGGCUGAACCAUAUAUUGUAGCUCACAAUAUCCUCUUGUCACAUGCUGCUGCUUAUCAUUGCUAUCAGUUGCAUUUCAAGGCAACUCAACGAGGUCAAAUUGGAAUAGCAUUAGAUUCCAAGUGGUAUGAACCAAUAUCUGAAGUAGGUGAGGAUAAAGAUGCAGCAAAUAGAGCAAUGGAUUUUGCAAUUGGAUGGUUCCUCGAUCCACUUUUCUUUGGAAAAUAUCCUGCUUCAAUGGAAAAGCUUGUCGGGGAAAGACUCCCUGAGAUCACUUCAAAAAUGUCAAAACUGUUAUCAGGAUCAUUAGACUUCGUUGGACUUAAUCAUUACACGACAUUGUAUGUUCGAAACGACAGGACUCGUAUUAGGAAACUAAUACUACAGGAUGCUUCUUCUGAUGCUGGUGUAAUCACAACAUCUUAUCGACGUGGAGUUGCAAUCGGAGAACGAGCAGCUUCCCGGUGGCUGCACAUUGUCCCGUGGGGAAUUCGAAAAUUGGUUAAUUAUGUGAAAGAUAAGUACAGGAAUCCACCGGUUAUUAUAACAGAAAAUGAAUUUCAGGUAUGGAUGAUCCAAACACACCAUUUAUGUCUUUAAACAAGGCCUUACAGGAUGAUAAGAGAAUAGAAUACCAUAGAGACUACCUGUCAAACCUGUCUGCAGCCAUAAGGCAAGAUGAAUGUGAUGUUCGAGGUUAUUUUGUGUGGUCUGUGCUCGAUAAUUGGGAAUGGAACUCAGGCUACACCGUCCGAUUCGGACUUUACUAUGUUGACUACAGGAAUAAUCUUACAAGAAUACCAAAAGCUUCUGCUCAUUGGUUUAAAAGUAUACUCAGAUUAAACAGUGAUAUGUAAGGUCAAUUUCCAACUUUCAAGUGCAUAUAGGUGUUGUAAGUUACGUAUCAUUAACCACAACUAAGCCUUAAUCCCCCGUUAGUCGGGAUCGGCUAUAAGAAUCAUUUACUUCCAUUCUUCUCAUACGUUCAUAGCUAAGUUUGCAAUGAUGUAAAUUAUUUGUAAUGUAUAUAAAUAUUAAUUAGUAUUAAGGAGCAAAGAAAAAAAAUUGUAACAUGCAUAGAAAAUUGGAAAGGAAAUUGAAGAAGAAAUGAGACAAAUACCAUUGAUUGCUUUGUUUCUGUU